GAUGAACGCUGGCGGCGUGCCUAAUACAUGCAAGUAGAACGCUGAAGCUUGGUGCUUGCACCGAGCGGAUGAGUUGCGAACGGGUGAGUAACGCGUAGGUAACCUGCCUGGUAGCGGGGGAUAACUAUUGGAAACGAUAGCUAAUACCGCAUAACAGUCGACAUUGCAUGAUGUUGAUUUGAAAGGGGCAAUUGCUCCACUACCAGAUGGACCUGCGUUGUAUUAGCUAGUUGGUGAGGUAACGGCUCACCAAGGCGACGAUACAUAGCCGACCUGAGAGGGUGAUCGGCCACACUGGGACUGAGACACGGCCCAGACUCCUACGGGAGGCAGCAGUAGGGAAUCUUCGGCAAUGGGGGCAACCCUGACCGAGCAACGCCGCGUGAGUGAAGAAGGUUUUCGGAUCGUAAAGCUCUGUUGUAAGAGAAGAACGAGUGUGAGAGUGGAAAGUUCACACUGUGACGGUAACUACCAGAAAGGAC
RNAcentral lists this ribosomal RNA (482 nucleotides) under Streptococcus sp. oral taxon 068. Its description in RNAcentral is "bacterial SSU rRNA". It matches the Rfam family "Bacterial small subunit ribosomal RNA", at positions 28 to 493 of the family's 1533-position model. Lineage: Bacteria; Bacillati; Bacillota; Bacilli; Lactobacillales; Streptococcaceae. The record is from RNAcentral.